UAAAUUACUUGAAGAAUCGAGAUGAUGUU
This 29-nucleotide non-coding RNA is filed under the name Rattus norvegicus (Norway rat). The record is from RNAcentral. Lineage: Eukaryota; Metazoa; Chordata; Mammalia; Rodentia; Muridae.